Alligator mississippiensis (American alligator) is the source of this 2305-nucleotide long non-coding RNA. RefSeq lists it as uncharacterized. The transcript has 3 exons. The record is from RefSeq and is a predicted model, not a curated record. Lineage: Eukaryota; Metazoa; Chordata; Crocodylia; Alligatoridae.
UGGAGCACAUUAUAGCUGACUCAGUGAGAGUGCAGAAGGGAAGAAACUUUACUCAUUUUUACACUCCUGCAGAUGAAGUUUCUAUUCCUGCCAUGUCUGCACCAUAAACAUAAUGUACAAGAAGUGAAAACACUGCUUUCAAGCCUACAGCUACUAAAGAGGGAGCAGCUGAGUACAGAGCACAUCUGCUGGCAGACAGUGGGCCUUAUGUGACUCAUGAAACUUGAUUUCUCUUCUAUGGAAUGGUCCGGCUUCAAUAAAAGGGAUGCUUUUAGCCAGGUGUGGAUGUCAAGUGAGCUUGAAUAAGGAAUUUGGUAGCUCAAGUGAAAUAGCAGAUUUGCAAAAAAUGGAAAAUGACAAUGUUGAGCUAUCAGGUCAGGGGGAAGAGGAAGCAGGAUCCUUGCUUUCAAGGUCACUGUCACCAGAUAUGUGAUCCACCAUGAGUAGCUGUUCAAGACAGUCAAGCUUUUUAUCAAGCUUUGUGGACAAAAUGUCAAAAGAAGAUCAAGAAAAAGCAGAUGAGAAAUUAGCUUGAGCUGUAUUUGCAAGUGAUACACCUCUUUCCAUAACUGAAAAUCAAUAGUGGAAGGAAUAAACAAAUUAAUUUGCCCACCAUAUAAAUUACUGUCAUAUUAUCGCUUAUCACAUUCUCUCUUAGAUAGAAAGUAUGACAGAGUUCAAACAAUGGUUAUUCAAAGGAUUGGUCAAGCAGAAUCACUGACUCUGAUGUCAGAUGGAUGGACUGACAUACAAGGAAAUCCUUUAUUGAAUAUUAUGUUAGCAACACCUGAACCAAUAUUCCUGAAAGCGAUUGCUACCAAAUCUUCUCAUCAUCCAGGUGAAUACAUAGCCAAAUUACUCAGUGAAGAGAUUGAAAGUGCAGGUCCCUCCAGGGUACAAGCACUCGUAACUGAUAAUGCGAGUAACGUGAAAGCAGCAUGGCAAAUAUUAAAGGCAAAGUAUCUUCAUUUAAUAGCAUUUGGCUGCUUUGUUCCUGGAUUGCAUCUUCUGGCAAAGGACACAGUAAGUGUGAAUACAAUGAAGAUAAUAUUGGCAAACUGCAAAGUGAUUGUGAAGGUAUUCAACAAUCAUCAUGUUGUUAAUCAGACUUUGAAGAAAUUACAAGAGAAACAGGGGAAGGAAAGUGCACUUUUAUUGCCAGGAGUGUUUACAUAGUUUGCUGCACACAAAGAACUGUUUGCAGUGUGCUUCAAUAGAUGACACAGUAUCCCAGAUUAUUCCUGUGAACAUUGGAAGCAGAUUCUCGACAAUGAUAUGUUCUGGGUUCAAGUUCAAGGAGCAUUAAAUUUACUACUGUCAGGUUCAGUGGCUAUCAAGAAACCUGAAGGAGAUACACCAAGCCUUUCAAAUAUUUCAGAGAUAUUCAGACAACCGAGUGAAAAUCUAACUGAGCUUUUGCCAUCUUCACCUCUAUCCAAAAAAGAAGAAGAAUUAAAACAAAUGUUUACUAACAGAUCUGAGUUUUGCUUUCAUCCAAUUAAUCUGGCAGCAAACCUUUGGAAUCCGCAACACAGAGGACAACAUUUGUCAGAAGAUGAAUUAUCUACUGCUGUCAAUACAAUUAUGGAAGUAGCUAAGAAUGUCCCCAACAUAGAUGAAAUAGCCAUGAUGACAGACAUUGCCAAGUACUGCACAAAAGAAAAGCUAUGGAGCAAAGACAAUUUGGCAGGCAGCAGAGAAUAUGUCUCUUCUCACACGGUGAAAGGGAUACUGUAACACCUGACUGUUGUCCAGGAUUGCUUUAACAAUCCUAAGCAUUCCACCAACAGCAGCUUCUUGCGAAUGGAACUGGAAGGCUUUCAGCUCAAUCAAGACAAAAAAGAGAAAUAGACUAACAAAUGAACACACUGCUAAGCUUGUUUGUAUUUCUCAAAAUCUCUUGCUUCUGGAGAAUCAGGAAAAAGCACAAUUAGUGAGGAAGCACACUGUGAUGGUAAGUUGCCCUUGCCCAUAGACUCAUUGGUAAAACCAUCCUUUGGUGAAAGAGAGCAUGGUUCAAAUAGUUCUGAAUCAGAUUUGCCUCAAUCUGAUUCUGAAAUGGAACUAAUAAGAAGUGCAAGUGAUUCUACAGAUAGUGACAGUGACACUGGAGGUGCUACAGUGGCCUCAGUGGGAAACUCUUUUGAAGUAGAUGAGUGGACAACCAUAGCAUAUCAUGGACCAUUCUUUGGGUGUGCUAAAAUUAGCAUGUCAAUGGUUUUGGAUGUCUUCAUAUUUUCCCUUUAAAAUUUAAACAAAGAGUGUAAGGGAAGUACAUGCUAUUGUGUAUUGUCUUUACAUUUUU